Molecule: ribosomal RNA, 664 nt
Filed under: uncultured archaeon
Lineage: Archaea
Description: bacterial SSU rRNA
Rfam family: Archaeal small subunit ribosomal RNA
Source: RNAcentral
CCGACGGUGAGGGGUGAAAGCUGGGGGAGCAAACCGGAUUAGAUACCCGGGUAGUCCCAGCUGUAAACUAUGCAAACUCAGUGAUGCAUUGGCUUGUGGCCAAUGCAGUGCUGCAGGGAAGCCGUUAAGUUUGCCGCCUGGGAAGUACGUACGCAAGUAUGAAACUUAAAGGAAUUGGCGGGGGAGCACCACAAGGGGUGAAGCCUGCGGUUCAAUUGGAGUCAACGCCAGAAAUCUUACCCGGAGAGACAGCAGAAUGAAGGUCAAGCUGAAGACUUUACCAGACAAGCUGAGAGGUGGUGCAUGGCCGUCGCCAGCUCGUGCCGUGAGAUGUCCUGUUAAGUCAGGUAACGAGCGAGAUCCCUGCCUCUAGUUGCCACCAUUACUCUCAGGAGUAGUGGGGCGAAUUAGCGGGACCGCCGCAGUUAAUGCGGAGGAAGGAAGGGGCCACGGCAGGUCAGUAUGCCCCGAAACUCUGGGGCCACACGCGGGCUGCAAUGGUAACGACAAUUGGUUUCGAAUCCGAAAGGAUGAGGUAAUCCUCAAACGUUACCACAGUUAUGACUGAGGGCUGCAACUCGCCCUCACGAAUAUGGAAUCCCUAGUAACUGCGUGUCAUUAUCGCGCGGUGAAUACGUCCCUGCUCCUUGUACACACCGCCCGU